RNAcentral lists this long non-coding RNA (1615 nucleotides) under Gadus morhua (Atlantic cod). Its description in RNAcentral is "lncRNA (ENSGMOG00000036629.1)". Lineage: Eukaryota; Metazoa; Chordata; Actinopteri; Gadiformes; Gadidae. The record is from RNAcentral.
CUUAGCUCUUGUGUGGGCUUGAGAACGGUUGCACCCUUAUGUGUACGGCCGACAGUUUGAACUUGUGACUGAUCAUAAGCCGCUGGAGGCAAUCUACAGCCCGCGCUCAAAACCCUGUGCCCGGGUGGAGAGAUGGGUCUUGCGGCUACAACCAUACAACUUCAAGGUGGUGCAUGUGGCUGGCAAGAAAAACAUCGCGGACUCACUGUCGAGGCUGAUGGGGGAAACAGCCCUCAAGGGAAAACACGCACACGAAGCUGAGGAAUAUGUGCGGUUCGUUGCGGUGAAUGCCACCCCCAGGGCACUGACAGCGAGAGAGGAGGAAGAAGCCUCAAAAACCGACCCGGAGCUGAACGAGGUUAGAGAGGCCAUAAAGACAGGACACUUUGAGAAAUGUAUGCCAUAUGCACCUACUGCAGCUGAACUGUGCGUAAUAGGAUACAUAGUUCUGAGGGGGACGCGCAUUGUGCUUCCCAGCACUCUACGCUCAAGAGCGCUUACGCUGGCGCAUGAAGGACAUUUGGGCAUAGUGGGCACAAAACAGCAUCUCAGAACUAAAGUGUGGUGGCCAGGGAUGGAUAGGGCGGCGGAGAAAUACUGCAAAUCAUGCCACGGGUGUCAGAUCACGUCACGCCCAGACGCACCCGAACCACUCAGACCAACUACACUUCCCGAAGGGCCAUGGCAGGCUCUAGCUGUUGAUUUACCUGGGCCCUUACCAUCAAAACAUUUGAUUCUAGUCGCAGUGGACUAUUACAGCAGGUAUUAUGAAUAUGAAGUUCUUACCUCUACGACAACUGACAAAGUCAUCGACAGCCUCGAGAACAUGUUCAGCCGACAUGGACUUCCAAUGACACUAAGAUCUGACAACGGGCCACAGUUCAAGUCUGACGAGUUUCGUGAUUACUGUGCAGAGAAAGGAAUUGUACAUCUCAAAACAACACCAAAAUGGGCCCAAGCAAACGGCGAAGUCGAGGGCCAGCACAGCUCGCUCAUGAAACGAAUCAGAAUCGCGCAAUCUGCCGGAUUGGAAUGGCAGAAAGAACUCAGGCGAUACGUCACAGUGUAUCGGGGAAUUGCGCACAACACCACAGGAAAAAGUCCAGCCGAACUCUUAUUCAACAGAAAGAUGAGAGGGAAGCUGCCUGAGAUUACACCAACAUUCAUGGACUUUGAACUGCAAGACCGAGAUGGAGAACAAAAAGGACAGUACAAACUUUACGCAAACGAUCGGAGAAAAGCUGAGCACUCUGAUGUGGCUGUGGGAGACACACUGCUGUUAAAACAAGAAAAGGUGGACAAAGUCAGCACAAACUUCAACAAAACACCACACACAGUAAUCCACAAACACGGCAACCAAGUGACUGUAGAAUCACCGGAGGGAGCUCAAUACAGCCGGAACACAACCUACGUGAAAAAGUACAUCACAAGCCAGCACGAACGGGAAGACGCGAGCGCACAAGACUACCCAGCGCAACAGCAGGCCAUGAACUCUCACGACGGUCCAGCUGUGCCAGCUGUGUCCGACGGACAUGCUACACCUGUCUCGAGACCUCAGAGGCAAAGGAAGCCUCCCGAGAGACUGAAAGACUUUGUGACGAUUUAAUACAGUGGC